This 253-nucleotide ribosomal RNA is filed under the name uncultured bacterium. RNAcentral's name for it is "partial 16S ribosomal RNA". It matches the Rfam family "Bacterial small subunit ribosomal RNA", at positions 524 to 776 of the family's 1533-position model. The record is from RNAcentral.
UACGUAGGGUGCAAGCGUUGUCCGGAAUUAUUGGGCGUAAAGAGCUCGUAGGCGGUCUGUCGCGUCGGCUGUGAAAACUCGGGGCUCAACUCCGAGCUUGCAGUCGAUACGGGCAGACUAGAGUUCGGUAGGGGAGUCUGGAAUUCCUGGUGUAGCGGUGAAAUGCGCAGAUAUCAGGAGGAACACCGGUGGCGAAGGCGGGACUCUGGGCCGAUACUGACGCUGAGGAGCGAAAGCGUGGGGAGCAAACAGG